AGUGAACGCUGGCGGUAGGCCUAACACAUGCAAGUCGAACGGCAGCACAGUAAGAGCUUGCUCUUACGGGUGGCGAGUGGCGGACGGGUGAGGAAUACAUCGGAAUCUACUUUUUCGUGGGGGAUAACGUAGGGAAACUUACGCUAAUACCGCAUACGACCUACGGGUGAAAGCAGGGGAUCUUCGGACCUUGCGCGAUUGAAUGAGCCGAUGUCGGAUUAGCUAGUUGGGGGGGUAAAGGCCCACCAAGGCGACGAUCCGUAGCUGGUCUGAGAGGGUGGGAGGCGACACUGGGGCCGAGAGGAGGGCCAGAGUCGGGAGUGGGGGAGAAGGGGGGAAGAGUGCACAAGGGGUGCAAGCCGGAUGAAGCGACGCCGCGUGGGUGAAGACCGCCUUUGGGUGGAAAAAAAGGUUCGCUAGGGAAGAAGCGUGUUGUGACGGUGCCCAGAUAAGAAGCACCGGCUAACUACGUG
RNAcentral lists this ribosomal RNA (473 nucleotides) under uncultured bacterium. RNAcentral's name for it is "partial 16S ribosomal RNA". It matches the Rfam family "Bacterial small subunit ribosomal RNA", at positions 30 to 507 of the family's 1533-position model. The record is from RNAcentral.